Molecule: transfer RNA, 29 nt
Filed under: Chaetoderma nitidulum
Lineage: Eukaryota; Metazoa; Mollusca; Caudofoveata; Chaetodermatida; Chaetodermatidae
Description: tRNA-Arg
Source: RNAcentral
CAGACAACAGGCCCAAAGCCUUAUUAUUC